Molecule: ribosomal RNA, 490 nt
Filed under: uncultured bacterium
Lineage: Bacteria
Description: partial 16S ribosomal RNA
Rfam family: Bacterial small subunit ribosomal RNA
Source: RNAcentral
AUUGAACGCUGGCGGCAGGCCUAACACAUGCCAGUCGAACGGUAACAGGAAGCAGCUUGCUGCUUCGCUGACGAGUGGCGGACGGGUGAGUAAUGUCUGGGAAGCUGCCUGAUGGAGGGGGAUAACUACCGGAAACGGUAGCUAAUACCGCAUAAUGUCGCAAGACCAAAGAGGGGGACCUUCGGGCCUCUUGCCAUCGGAUGUGCCCAGAUGGGAUUAACUUGUUGGUGGGGUAACGGCUCACCAAGGCGACGAUCCCUAGCUGGUCUGAGAGGAUGACCAGCCACACUGGAACUGAGACACGGUCCAGACUCCUACGGGAGGCAGCAGUGGGGAAUAUUGCACAAUGGGCGCAAGCCUGAUGCAGCCAUGCCGCGUGUAUGAAGAAGGCCUUCGGGUUGUAAAGUACUUUCAGCGGGGAGGAAGGGAGUAAAGUUAAUACCUUUGCUCAUUGACGUUACCCGCAGAAGAAGCACCGGCUAACUCCGUG